AUUUAGAUCUUAAAACCUUGUUAAAAUUAGAAAAAAAUGGUGGAUCCAGUGCUUUAGCACUGCCUCUAAGCCGAGCCUGCUUAUACAUAUAUGCAGAGAAUUUUGCACUAUUUGAAACGCACCGCAUUGUACAGUUCGGUCACCAUUAAAUUGUAAAUGAUAUAAAUUGUGAUAAUAAUACGGUUUAGAUGCUUAGAAACUCCACGUUAAGGGAAAAAUUGCUUACAGUGUCA
This 233-nucleotide small RNA is filed under the name Arabidopsis thaliana (thale cress). Its description in RNAcentral is "ATSL189570". The record is from RNAcentral. Lineage: Eukaryota; Viridiplantae; Streptophyta; Magnoliopsida; Brassicales; Brassicaceae.